Non-coding RNA from Cricetulus griseus (Chinese hamster), 1266 nucleotides. The record is from RefSeq and is a predicted model, not a curated record. Lineage: Eukaryota; Metazoa; Chordata; Mammalia; Rodentia; Cricetidae.
CAUCUUGCUUCCCCUGUGUCCAGCUGAUGACUCUGCCUUCCUCUUCCCAGAAUUCUCCUAGUCUGCUAGUCCCACCUAUACUUCCUGCCUGGCUACCGGCCAAUUAGUGUUUUAUUAAACCAAUGCAAAUAACAAAUCUUUACCGUGUACAAGAGCAUUAUCCCAUAUCAGUUCACAAUGGUAAUUUGAGUGUCUGCUUUUCCUGCAUGUUGCUCAUCUUUUAUGUAGCUUUCAGCAUAAUGUCUUACAUUUUUCUCCUUUAGUGUUCUUCCUUACUUUCUAAUGAACUGGACAACAUGCUGAAAUUAUGUGGUAACUAUAGCAGACCCAGAAUCUUACUGCCUUUUGGUGAGAAAGGUCUUGAUUUUAUCCAUGCUAUUAUGUAUGUGUCUAUGAAUAUGAUUCUGCUGUUUCCCCUUGUUUCUCGAAGUGCUAGGCACUCACAACGCUGGUCUAUUUAGACAGUCUUCAGACAUUCUAGUUGGAAAGACCAACAUGUAAUUAUGUCAACAGUACAGUGCGGGUCAUUUUCUGAAUGGUAAGCACAGAGAGCCCCCAAAGCCCAAGGAGCACAUGUAGAUCAGACAGGGGUCGGAGAGGACUUCCUAGAAGAGGUCAGCAGGACACAGUGGGAUGAUUGUAAUUCACAAAGCAGGGAUAGCAUGGAGCAUAGAGGGACCAGAAACCAAGCUCCUGAUGGUAGGUACAGGGACGUCAGUGGGGCUGAGUAAUGUGGGAGGCAGCAUGGGAAGGGCAAGAAAGCAUGGAAAGGGUUAGUCAAGUCUAUAAAGGAGAAGAGGAGAAGACAAGGAAGCAUUCCAGAAGCAAGGCUGUGGACGUGUGGCAUGGCAGUAUAAAGUGAUUUAACUUGGGGGCUGGAGAGAUGUUCAUUCAAUAAAGUGCUCACGGUACAAGCUGCAUUUAGAUCCCCAGCAUCUACCUAAAAGCCAGGCAAUGUAGCUCACCUCCAACUUCACUGCUGGGGCAUUGGGCAGACAUAAGAGGGUCGCUGAAGCUCACUGGCUAGCCAGCCUAGCUGGAUCGAUGAGCACCUGGUUCAAUUAGAGACCACCUUCAUAACCCCAGCUGUCCUGGAACUCAGAGAGCCACCUGUCUCUUGAGGGAUGGGAUUAAAGGCAUACACUGCCCCCACUCUGGUUCUUUUGCCUAUUCAUUCAUUUAUUCAUUCAUUCAUAUGUUUUGGUUUUUCGAGACAGGGUUUCUCUGUAGCUUUGGAGCCUAUCCUGGCACUCUCUCUGUAGACCA